UACGUAGGGUGCAAGCGUUGUCCGGAAUUAUUGGGCGUAAAGAGCUCGUAGGCGGUCUGUCGCGUCGGCUGUGAAAACCCGGGGCUCAACCCCGGGCCUGCAGUCGAUACGGGCAGACUAGAGUGCGGUAGGGGAGACUGGAAUUCCUGGUGUAGCGGUGAAAUGCGCAGAUAUCAGGAAGAACACCCGUGGCGAAGGCGGCUCUCUGGGACGGUACUGACGCUGAGACGCGAAAGCGUGGGGAGCGAACAGG
RNAcentral lists this ribosomal RNA (253 nucleotides) under uncultured bacterium. Its description in RNAcentral is "partial 16S ribosomal RNA". It matches the Rfam family "Bacterial small subunit ribosomal RNA", at positions 524 to 776 of the family's 1533-position model. The record is from RNAcentral.